GAUGAACGCUGGCGGCGUGCCUAAUACAUGCAAGUCGAGCGAACAGACGAGGAGCUUGCUCCUCUGACGUUAGCGGCGGACGGGUGAGUAACACGUGGAUAACCUACCUAUAAGACUGGGAUAACUUCGGGAAACCGGAGCUAAUACCGGAUAACAUGUUGAACCGCAUGGUUCAACAGUGAAAGACGGUCCUGCUGUCACUUAUAGAUGGAUCCGCGCCGCAUUAGCUAGUUGGUAAGGUAACGGCUUACCAAGGCAACGAUGCGUAGCCGGCCUGAGAGGGUGAUCGGCCACACUGGAACUGAGACACGGUCCAGACUCCUGCGGGAGGCAGCAGUAGGGAAUCUUCCGCAAUGGGCGAAAGCCUGACGGAGCAACGCCGCGUGAGUGAAGAAGGUCUUCGGAUCGUAAAACUCUGUUAUUAGGGAAGAACAAAUGUGUAGGUAACUAUGCACGUCUUGACGGUACCUAAUCAGAAAGCCACGGCUAACUUCGUG
RNAcentral lists this ribosomal RNA (497 nucleotides) under uncultured bacterium. Its description in RNAcentral is "partial 16S ribosomal RNA". It matches the Rfam family "Bacterial small subunit ribosomal RNA", at positions 28 to 507 of the family's 1533-position model. The record is from RNAcentral.